This 198-nucleotide ribosomal RNA is filed under the name uncultured bacterium. RNAcentral describes it as "partial 16S ribosomal RNA". It matches the Rfam family "Bacterial small subunit ribosomal RNA", at positions 326 to 539 of the family's 1533-position model. The record is from RNAcentral.
ACGCUCGACACCUACGGGAAGCAGCAGUGGGGAAUAUUGCACAAUGGGGGAAACCCUGAUGCAGCGACGCCGCGUGAGCGAAGAAGUAUUUCGGUAUGUAAAGCUCUAUCAGCAGGGAAGAAAAUGACGGUACCUGACUAAGAAGCCCCGGCUAACUACGUGCCAGCAGCCGCGGUAAUCUGAGCGGGCUGGCAAGGC